GACGAACGCUGGCGGCGUGCUUAACACAUGCAAGUCUACGAGAACGAGGUAGCAAUAUCUUUAUUAAAGUGGCGCACGGGUGAGUAACACGUAAGUAACCUACCUUUAGAUUUGGAAUAACCCCGAGAAAUCGGGGCUAAUACUGAAUGAUGCAGCGGCACCACAUGGUGAUGUUGUUAAAGUCUACAUGACGUCUGAAGAUGGGCUUGCGUCUGAUUAGCUAGUUGGUGAGGUAACGGCCCACCAAGGCUACGAUCAGUAGCUGGUCUGAGAGGAUGAUCAGCCACACUGGAACUGAGACACGGUCCAGACUCCUACGGGAGGCAGCAGUGAGGAAUAUUGGGCAAUGCCCGAAAGGGUGACCCAGCAACGCCGCGUGGAGGAUGAAUGCCGUAAGGUUGUAAACUCCUGUUAGAGGGGAAGA
RNAcentral lists this ribosomal RNA (424 nucleotides) under uncultured bacterium. Its description in RNAcentral is "bacterial SSU rRNA". It matches the Rfam family "Bacterial small subunit ribosomal RNA", at positions 28 to 448 of the family's 1533-position model. The record is from RNAcentral.